This 1171-nucleotide long non-coding RNA is filed under the name Homo sapiens (human). RNAcentral's name for it is "HSALNT0301422". The record is from RNAcentral. Lineage: Eukaryota; Metazoa; Chordata; Mammalia; Primates; Hominidae.
UUAUUAAGUAACAAAUUCGGGUGGGUCAAGGGCAGAGUAACCAAGAGAUCUCAGCAAGCAUGAGGGAGAUUCAAGGAGCUGGCAUUGUGUGACUGGGGACAGAAAAGCCCUCAUGCAGGCAGGCGGGUCACAAUUGUUCCCUUCAGAUUUCUGAGGGGCUGCCUUGGUGGGAGAGGGGGUAGUUCAGUUCUGUGGGGCUCCAGGGGGCAAAAGGCAUGAUAAAUGAGUAGAAGUCAUGGAGAGGUGGAGCUUGCCUCCAGACAGAAUGCUAAGAAGGAUGCUGCUGCACAGUGGGGACUGAGCCAACUCACUGUUCAACAAAUAAGCAUUGGAGGGUCUCUAGUUCCAUAGAAAGAAGGCAAAUGAAGAGGACAGAAGAAGGAGAGAGACCUUCCCACCCCAUCAGCCCUAUGCUGCAGAGAGUUAAGUGAAGACAUAUGAUGUGCUCUGGCCAAUGAAAUGGAUCCCACAUCUACUUCUCUUGCAGAAACCAACUGGUGGAAGUGACCUUCUCAUGGAGUGUCCUUCACAAUCCUGGUGGAAGUCACAGGCCUGCCCAAGCUGGAGGACUGUCCCAUUCCAACAAGUGAAGGAGCUCUGCAGGGCCAUCUUGGAGCCUGGGGAUGUUCCUGGAGAGCACACAGACACACAACCAUGAACUUGCUCAGUGCUGCCAACUCCAUUCAGGAUGAUGGCUGCCCACUCAUACCUGCAAUGGGUCAUGGACUGGGAAGCUGAUGAAACUGCAACUGGCAUGGGCUGCUGGGAGCCACCAUACAUGGAGGAGAGUGAUGGCUGAUUCACAAUUUAUUGUGAUCCCGGCAUGACACAAUGCAGAAGAGUUUGGAUUUACUGGCUCAGGGGUAAACUGUAGAUUAUUCACUGCGUCCAUUUCACUGGCUGAACCAGGAAGCAAUUCCUGGGUCCAUCUGUCAGAAUCUCUGAACUGGGAGGAGGAGAAGAAUGAAGCACGGACAGCUGACCAGCCAGGCAGUCCCCAGAGCUGCCAUGCACUCUGCAGCACGCUUCCUGGGUCUUCAUUCCAAUCAGUGGGACAGUUUCACGCAUAAAUCCUUACCCGAUGGUCAGAUGUGGUCUCCAUCUGCUUUCCUGACCUCACUUGUCUUCUUUAAAGAGCAGCGACUCAGAAUAAUAAAGAUCUUUAUUUGCA